This 1934-nucleotide long non-coding RNA is filed under the name Bos indicus x Bos taurus (hybrid cattle). Its description in RNAcentral is "lncRNA (ENSBIXG00005005960.1)". The record is from RNAcentral. Lineage: Eukaryota; Metazoa; Chordata; Mammalia; Artiodactyla; Bovidae.
CAGCUGGCAUGGGGGCAUUGCUGGGGCUCCAGAGACUGAGGCGAGGCUUGUCCUGGGAGCACGGUUCCUGAGUGCAUGAGCUCAGACAGGCACUGCAGAGGGCCAGGGGUCUGCCUGUGGCCCUGGGGCUACACACACUAAUCGAAAUGGGGUAUCUGUCUGUCUGUGGAGCUGAAUGUCUGCCUUACUCAUCCAGGCCCUGAGUCACCUCGUUUCAAAAUGCUGCCCGGUUCCUGGAACAGAGUCGAGCAUCAGUGGGUGGGCGUGAGUCAUUUCUGCCACUGGGACCUGCCUGCAUCUUGAACCUGGUCUGGGGCCACCAUUCUGAAGAUGUCUUUCUCUUUCUCUACAAGGCUCCCACCUCCUCCCUCUGCAUAUGGGGACUCUGGAUGGCAACUCAAGGCCUUUUCCGCCGGCUGCUGCCAGCCCAGCCUUUGGAGAGGAUCUGUCCAGCCUUUCUUCCAGGGGCUCUCGGGCUGCUGUCCUUCCCGCUGGACCGCAGCAGGGCCCCCUCCAGCAAAGCAUGAACCCCACCCCCCAACAGCUCCUCACCUCCCCUGCCCCGCAGGUCAGCUCCUGGAGGCAAGUCCAGGAGAGGACCGGCUAUGGUGUGAGGUCACAUCUCCCCAGAGGCCUUGCCACCCGUCCUUGCUGCCAGCCACAUCCUGGAUCAGAGGAUCCUCCAGGAGAAGUGAAACUGGACUUGCUUCUCCAGCCCCAGCUGGCAGCGCCCCUCAGAGCUGAGCGUUCCCAGCUGUGUGUUCUGCUGGGUGAGCGGUUUAGGUGGUAACUGAAAGAGCCAACAGUUCAGGGGAACUUGUGCAAAGGCAUUGCACCAAAGCAUGACACGGUUAUCAUUUGGGGGCCAUAUCAUGAGUCUUCUGAAUGUUAUUGUGAUGACCUGGCAGUGGAGGCUUUACUCCAAGCUUCUCUAAAUGACCAAGACAACAAGCCAGUCAGAGUGACAUGCAUUCUUUCAUUUACUGGAAAAUAUUGUUGCCUACUUACCAUGCGUCAGGCUCUGUGCAGGGCCCUGGAGGCCGCAGCCCCGAGGCUGGGGACAAACCUUCCCCACCUGCUUGUGGUCAGAUGACAGUGUCAGACACAGGUGGGCAGGUCUGUGGGACUUUGAAGGCUGAUCAUCCCCAUAGAAAACAGGACAAGAGGACAGAGGUCCCUACCUGCCUGCUGAGUCCAGCGAAGUGUCACUCCUGAACAUUGCAGGCCAAGGAGGAAGGGAUUUGGCCAGGAGUUAGCAGUGGGGGUCAGCAAUGGGGUGAGGUCAUCAGAGGUGUGUGCGCUGCAAGCCUGACCCUUCCAGGUCUGUCUGGGGAGGGAGAAGACUAAGGGGAUGAGAAAGAAAGUCAAAUGGCAGGGCCAGUUCAAAUAUCCUUCCUUUAGUCAGCCUCCAUCACCUACUGGAUGGGGAGAGGUGGCAGGGGGCUCAGCAGGCCUCCAAAUGGAGCUGUUUUUUUCUCCACAAGUCGACUUUCCAAUUAACAUAUAAACACUACUAUAUAUAAAAUAGAUAACAAACAAGAACCUAGUAUAUAGCACAGGAAAAGUGAAAGUGUUGUUUGCUCAGUUGUGUCUGACUCUGCCACCCCGUGGACUUAGCUGGCCAGGCUCCUCUGUCCAUGGAAUUCUCCAGGCAAGAAUACUAGAGUGGGUAACCUUUCCCUUCUCCAGGGGAUCUUCCCCACCAGGGAUCGAACCUGGGUCUCCCACAUUGUAGGCAGAUUCUUUACCAUCUGAGCCACCAGGGAAGUCUACUCAAUAUUCUUUAAUAACCUAUAUGGGAACAGAACAGAAAAGGAGAAUGCAUAUAUGUAUACACAUAACUGAGUCACUGUGCUGUACACUUGAAACUAACACAACAUUGUAAAUCAACUAGACUCAAAUAAAAAUUUUUAAAAUAAAGUGAAAACUAAACA